UACGUAGGGUGCGAGCGUUAUUCGGAAUUACUGGGCGUAAAGCGUGCGUAGGCGGCGCGUUAAGUCAGGUGUGAAAGCCCCGAGCUUAACUUGGGAAUUGCGCUUGUGACUGGCGUGCUGGAGUGUGGCAGAGGGAGGUGGAAUUCCACGUGUAGCAGUGAAAUGCGUAGAGAUGUGGAGGAACACCGAUGGCGAAGGCAGCCUCCUGGGCCAGCACUGACGCUCAUGCACGAAAGCGUGGGGAGCAAACAGG
This 253-nucleotide ribosomal RNA is filed under the name uncultured bacterium. RNAcentral's name for it is "partial 16S ribosomal RNA". It matches the Rfam family "Bacterial small subunit ribosomal RNA", at positions 524 to 776 of the family's 1533-position model. The record is from RNAcentral.